RNAcentral lists this ribosomal RNA (402 nucleotides) under uncultured bacterium. Its description in RNAcentral is "bacterial SSU rRNA". It matches the Rfam family "Bacterial small subunit ribosomal RNA", at positions 355 to 774 of the family's 1533-position model. The record is from RNAcentral.
UGGGGAAUAUUGCACAAUGGGCGAAAGCCUGAUGCAGCAACGCCGCGUGAGUGAUGAAGGCCUUCGGGUUGUAAAGCUCUGUCUUCUGGGACGAUAAUGACGGUACCAGAGGAGGAAGCCAAGGCUAACUACGUGCCAGCAGCCGCGGUCAUACGUAGGUGGCAAGCGUUGUCCGGAUUUACUGGGAGUAAAGGAUGCGUAGGCGGAUACUUAAGUCAGAUGUGAAAAUCCCGGGCUUAACUUGGGAACUGCAUUUGAAACUGGGUAUCUAGAGUGCGGGAGAGGAAAGUGGAAUUCCUAGUGUAGCGGUGAAAUGCGUAGAGAUUAGGAAGAACACCAGUGGCGAAGGCGACUUUCUGGACCGUAACUGACGCUGAGGCAUGAAAGCGUGGGGAGCAAACA